AUUGAACGCUGGCGGCAUGCUUUACACAUGCAAGUCGAACGGCAGCGCGGGCUUCGGCCUGGCGGCGAGUGGCGAACGGGUGAGUAAUACAUCGGAACGUGCCCAGUAGUGGGGGAUAGCUCGGCGAAAGCCGGAUUAAUACCGCAUACGACCUGAGGGUGAAAGCGGGGGAUCUUCGGACCUCGCGCUAUUGGAGCGGCCGAUGGCAGAUUAGCUAGUUGGUGGGGUAAAGGCUUACCAAGGCGACGAUCUGUAGCUGGUCUGAGAGGACGACCAGCCACACUGGGACUGAGACACGGCCCAGACUCCUACGGGAGGCAGCAGUGGGGAAUUUUGGACAAAGGGCGAAAGCCUGAUCCAGCAAUGCCGCGUGUGUGAUGAAGGCCUUCGGGUUGUAAAGCACUUUUGGCGGGAACGAAAAGGACUGUGCCAAUACCACGGUUCGAUGACGGUACCCGCAGAAUAAGCACCGGCUAACUACGUG
This 484-nucleotide ribosomal RNA is filed under the name uncultured bacterium. RNAcentral's name for it is "partial 16S ribosomal RNA". It matches the Rfam family "Bacterial small subunit ribosomal RNA", at positions 29 to 507 of the family's 1533-position model. The record is from RNAcentral.